This is a long non-coding RNA of Neoarius graeffei (lesser salmon catfish), 294 nucleotides long. RefSeq lists it as uncharacterized. The record is from RefSeq and is a predicted model, not a curated record. Lineage: Eukaryota; Metazoa; Chordata; Actinopteri; Siluriformes; Ariidae. The transcript has 3 exons.
ACACUGGCUGUAGUGUUAAACUUACGGGAAGCUUCAUGUUUGGUCUAAAUAUAUACAUCUAGAUAUACGCACACACUAUAUGAUAGUGAAUGUUGUUUUAAAAUUAAUUAUUAGACUGUGGUGAGAUUAACUAGUGGUGUGUCGGUAUGGAGAAGGAACCGGAUGUGGAGUGCAGCAGCUCCGCUUCAUGUACGGGCGCCGGGAAAUCGAAGCUGGACACAUUGUCUAAAGAUGACCUCAUUAAAUUUGCUAAAAAGCAAAUAGGAGCAAUGCAGAAGUUAAAGUCACAGUGUG